GGGCAGGGGGUCGGUAUAUACAUGCAAGUCGAGCGGUAGAGAGAAGCUUGCUUCUCUUGAGAGCGGCGGACGGGUGAGUAAUGCCUAGGAAUCUGCCUGGUAGUGGGGGAUAACGUUCGGAAACGGACGCUAAUACCGCAUACGUCCUACGGGAGAAAGCAGGGGACCUUCGGGCCUUGCGCUAUCAGAUGAGCCUAGGUCGGAUUAGCUAGUUGGUGAGGUAAUGGCUCACCAAGGCGACGAUCCGUAACUGGUCUGAGAGGAUGAUCAGUCACACUGGAACUGAGACACGGUCCAGACUCCUACGGGAGGCAGCAGUGGGGAAUAUUGGACAAUGGGCGAAAGCCUGAUCCAGCCAUGCCGCGUGUGUGAAGAAGGUCUUCGGAUUGUAAAGCACUUUAAGUUGGGAGGAAGGGCAGUUACCUAAUACGUGAUUGUUUUGACGUUACCGACAGAAUAAGCACCGGCUAACUCUGUGCCAGCAGCCGCGGUAAUACAGAGGGUGCAAGCGUUAAUCGGAAUUACUGGGCGUAAAGCGCGCGUAGGUGGUUAGUUAAGUUGGAUGUGAAAUCCCCGGGCUCAACCUGGGAACUGCAUUCAAAACUGACUGACUAGAGUAUGGUAGAGGGUGGGUGGGAAUUUCCUGUGUAGCGGUGAAAUGCGUAGAUAUAGGAAGGAACACCAGUGGCGAAGGCGACCACCUGGACUGAUACUGACACUGAGGUGCGAAAGCGUGGGGAGCAAACAGGAUUAGAUACCCUGGUAGUCCACGCCGUAACGAUGUCAACUAGCCGUUGGGA
This 800-nucleotide ribosomal RNA is filed under the name Pseudomonas sp. F001. RNAcentral's name for it is "bacterial SSU rRNA". It matches the Rfam family "Bacterial small subunit ribosomal RNA", at positions 33 to 828 of the family's 1533-position model. The record is from RNAcentral. Lineage: Bacteria; Pseudomonadati; Pseudomonadota; Gammaproteobacteria; Pseudomonadales; Pseudomonadaceae.